AACGAACGCUGGCGGCAUGCCUAACACAUGCAAGUCGAACGAGACCUUCGGGUCUAGUGGCGCACGGGUGCGUAACGCGUGGGAACCUGCCCUUAGGUUCGGAAUAACUCCCCGAAAGGGGUGCUAAUACCGGAUAAUGUCUUCGGACCAAAGAUUUAUCGCCUUUGGAUGGGCCCGCGUUGGAUUAGCUAGUUGGUAGGGUAAAAGCCUACCAAGGCGACGAUCCAUAGCUGGUCUGAGAGGAUGAUCAGCCACACUGGGACUGAGACACGGCCCAGACUCCUACGGGAGGGAGCAGUGGGGAAUAUUGGACAAUGGGCGAAAGCGUAAUCCAGCAGUGCCGCGUGAGUGAUGAAGGCCUUAGGGUUGUAAAGCUCUUUUACCCGGGAUGAUAAUGACAGUACCGGGAGAAUAAGCUCCGGCUAACUACGUG
RNAcentral lists this ribosomal RNA (433 nucleotides) under uncultured bacterium. Its description in RNAcentral is "partial 16S ribosomal RNA". It matches the Rfam family "Bacterial small subunit ribosomal RNA", at positions 29 to 507 of the family's 1533-position model. The record is from RNAcentral.